AGCUACCCUUGUUCAUUUUGGUGGUCUUUUCCAGGAACCCGUGAAAGAAUCAAGAGCGACCAAGAAGUGUCCCACAAGUGUCUCCACUGAUUUAGACAGCAUAACAAAACUAAACUGAGAGAGUUGACAGGGAGGCAAACCAGGGAAGCAAGGGGAUUUUACAUCCAGGGCACGGCAGCCGAAUAAACAUCUGAAGAUUGAAUCCUGGGCAAGAAAUCUUAGAUGAAUGAUAGCCACUGGCAUUGUACUCAAGUGACAUUUUCUGGAGGCUGAUUCCAGGAUGCAUUUUUGAAACCCGGUUGGCAAGUUUCCCUGACUAUGGCUUUGGCUGAUCCUCCCCUACAAGCAUAGCUUGAUGUUACUGCACGCUACUUUGGUCUCUGCUGAUGAGGGAAGAGAAACCCGGGGAUCUUCAUUUAUUUAAAAGCUUAACUUAGAGGAUAAGAUCAGUGAACCAGUGCUGCUGCUGUUGAAGGAGAAGAAG
RNAcentral lists this long non-coding RNA (484 nucleotides) under Mus musculus (house mouse). RNAcentral's name for it is "alncRNA-EC153". The record is from RNAcentral. Lineage: Eukaryota; Metazoa; Chordata; Mammalia; Rodentia; Muridae.